AGAUUUUAUUAUAAAUAUAAUAUAACUAAUUACGGUUUAGUAGAUAGAGAUUUAGAGUUUUUAGAGUUCUU
This 71-nucleotide transfer RNA is filed under the name Philometra sp. HZ-2022. RNAcentral's name for it is "tRNA-Arg". The record is from RNAcentral. Lineage: Eukaryota; Metazoa; Nematoda; Chromadorea; Rhabditida; Philometridae.